Long non-coding RNA from Zea mays, 678 nucleotides. RefSeq lists it as uncharacterized. NCBI's taxonomy places the organism in Eukaryota, Viridiplantae, Streptophyta, Magnoliopsida, Poales, Poaceae. The transcript is spliced from 3 exons. The record is from RefSeq and is a predicted model, not a curated record.
GAAUUUUGAAAUGUGUACUUUAGCUACCUGUCUCGUCCUGAAAUCCCAAUAUUAAGUGGUUUCUUCCUCACUGUACCAACGAGAAAAACUGUGGCACUUGUUGGUAGAAAUGGCUCGGGGAAAAGCAGUGUAAUUCCUCUGAUGGAGAGAUUCUAUGACCCAACAUUAGGUGAAGUUCUUUUGGAUGGGGAAAACAUAAAAAAAAUUGAAAGUAGAAUGGUUAAGAAACCAAAUUGGUCUGGUGACACAAGAACCAGCCUUAUUGAGUUUGAGCAUUCAGGAAAAUAUUGCUUAUGGAAGAUCUGCUACCUUUGAUCAGAUAGAAGAGGCAACAAAAACAGCCCAUGCCCAUGGGUUCAUCAGUUCACUUGAAAAGGGGUACGAAACCCAGGUUGGUCGAGCUGGUCUAACACUCACUGAUGAACAUAAAAUCAAAAUUUCUAUUGCUCGUGCUGUGCUUUCGAAUCCAUCCAUUCUUUUGCUUGAUGAGGUCACCUGAGGACUUGAUUUUGAAGCUAAGAAGGCUGUACAAGAAGCAUUAGAUGUUCUGAUGUUGGGAAGGUCAACCCUUAUAAUUGCUAGACGUCUUUGCCUCAUUAAAAAUGCUGAUUAUAUAGCUGUAAUGGAGGAGGGCCAUCUUGUUGAAAUGGGGACACAUGAUGAACUUCUAAACUUGGA